This is a non-coding RNA of Podarcis lilfordi (Lilford's wall lizard), 76 nucleotides long. The record is from the annotation of a GenBank genome assembly. Lineage: Eukaryota; Metazoa; Chordata; Lepidosauria; Squamata; Lacertidae.
GGAUAGCUUAGUUGGUCAGAGCAUGGUGCUGAUGAUGCCAAGGUUGAAGGUUUGAUCCCUAUAAGGGAUGGCUGCA